CCCGCACAAGCGGUGGAGCAUGUGGUUUAAUUCGACGCAACGCGAAGAACCUUACCUGGCCUUGACAUCCUGCGAACUUUCUAGAGAUAGAUUGGUGCCUUCGGGAACGCAGUGACAGGUGCUGCAUGGCCGUCGUCAGCUCGUGUCGUGAGAUGUUGGGUUAAGUCCCGUAACGAGCGCAACCCCUAUCCCUAGUUGCUAGCAGUUCGGCUGAGAACUCUAGGGAGACUGCCGGUGACAAACCGGAGGAAGGUGGGGAUGACGUCAGGUCAUCAUGGCCCUUACGGCCAGGGCUACACACGUGCUACAAUGGCGCGCACAGAGGGCUGCAAACCCGCGAGGGUAAGCCAAUCUCUUAAAACGCGUCGUAGUCCGGAUCGCAGUCUGCGACUCGACUGCGUGAAGUCGGAAUCGCUAGUAAUCGCGAAUCAGAAUGUCGCGGUGAAUACGUUCCCGGGCCUUGUACACACCGCCCGUCACACCAUGGGAGUGGAUUGCACCAGAAGUGGUUAGUCUAACCUUCGGGAGGACGAUCACCACGGUGUGGUUCAUGACUGGGGUGAAGUCG
This 568-nucleotide ribosomal RNA is filed under the name uncultured bacterium. RNAcentral's name for it is "bacterial SSU rRNA". It matches the Rfam family "Bacterial small subunit ribosomal RNA", at positions 920 to 1488 of the family's 1533-position model. The record is from RNAcentral.